CAAGGAUUUAAGUUAUUAAACUAUUAACCUUCAAAGUUGAAAAUAAAGGUAAUCUCUUUAAGCCUU
Molecule: transfer RNA, 66 nt
Filed under: Ptilodactylidae sp. 3 ACP-2013
Lineage: Eukaryota; Metazoa; Arthropoda; Insecta; Coleoptera; Ptilodactylidae
Description: tRNA-Trp
Source: RNAcentral